UUUCCGUAGGUGAACCUGCGGAGGGAUCAUUAACGACUUAGGGACUUCUAGGCCCGACCUCUCAACCCUUUGUUUACUGAACCAUUGUUGCCUCGGUGGGUCCGUCUUACGACCGCCGGGGCAUCGCCGCGAGGCGCCACCUGGCCAGCGUCCACCGAUAGCCCAACCUUUAGAACCCUAUGUGAAUCGUGUCUUAUGUCUAAAUUUAUGAUUAAACAAUCAAAACAAAACUUUCAACAACGGAUCUCUUGGUUCUG
This 257-nucleotide unclassified non-coding RNA is filed under the name plant metagenome. Its description in RNAcentral is "partial contains small subunit ribosomal RNA, internal transcribed spacer 1, and 5.8S ribosomal RNA". The record is from RNAcentral.